ACUAAGGUUAAACGACAAGGCUCUGGCAGCAGUGUAUUGCAGUGCCAGGCAGGAUAACACCACUAAGGUUAAACGACAAGGCUCUGGCUGCAGUGCAUUGCAGUGCCAGGCAGGAUAACACCACUAAGGUAGAAUAACCGAUAGGACCGAGGAAGAAAGGAAAGGGACG
Coregonus clupeaformis (lake whitefish) is the source of this 169-nucleotide long non-coding RNA. RefSeq lists it as uncharacterized. The transcript has 3 exons. Lineage: Eukaryota; Metazoa; Chordata; Actinopteri; Salmoniformes; Salmonidae. The record is from RefSeq and is a predicted model, not a curated record.